GAUCCUGGCUCAGAGCGAACGUUAGCGGCGCGCCUAACACAUGCAAGUCGCACGAGAAAGGGGGCAACCCCCGGUACAGUGGCGCACGGGUGAGUAACACGUGGAUUACCUGCCCUGGAGUGGUGGAUAACCUGCCGAAAGGUGGGCUAAUACAGCAUGAGACCACGCGGUUUCGAUCGUGAGGUCAAAGCGGGCUUCUGUUCACAAGCUCGCGCUCUAGGAUGGGUCCGCGGCCCAUCAGCUAGUUGGUAGGGUAACGGCCUACCAAGGCUACGACGGGUAGCUGGUCUGAGAGGAUGGCCAGCCACACUGGAACUGAGACACGGUCCAGACUCCUACGGGAGGCAGCAGUGGGGAAUCUUGCGCAAUGGACGAAAGUCUGACGCAGCGACGCCGCGUGGGUGACGAAGGCC
This 413-nucleotide ribosomal RNA is filed under the name uncultured bacterium. RNAcentral describes it as "bacterial SSU rRNA". It matches the Rfam family "Bacterial small subunit ribosomal RNA", at positions 15 to 416 of the family's 1533-position model. The record is from RNAcentral.